RNAcentral lists this ribosomal RNA (629 nucleotides) under Golovinomyces cichoracearum. RNAcentral describes it as "partial large subunit ribosomal RNA". It matches the Rfam family "Eukaryotic large subunit ribosomal RNA", at positions 27 to 669 of the family's 3401-position model. The record is from RNAcentral. Lineage: Eukaryota; Fungi; Ascomycota; Leotiomycetes; Helotiales; Erysiphaceae.
GCUGAACUUAAGCAUAUCAAUAAGCGGAGGAAAAGAAACCAACCGGGAUUACCUCAGUAACGGCGAGUGAAGCGGUAACAGCUCAAAUUUGAAAUCUGGCUCUUCCGGAGUCCGAGUUGUAAUUUGUAGAAGAUGCUUUGGGAGGUAGGGCCGGCCUAAGUUCCUUGGAACAGGACAUCAGAGAGGGUGAGAAUCCCGUAUGUGGCCGUGGCCUACGCCCGUGUAAAGCUCUUUCGACGAGUCGAGUUGUUUGGGAAUGCAGCUCAAAAUGGGUGGUAAAUUUCAUCUAAAGCUAAAUAUUGGCCAGAGACCGAUAGCGCACAAGUAGAGUGAUCGAAAGAUGAAAAGCACUUUGGAAAGAGAGUUAAACAGUACGUGAAAUUGUUGAAAGGGAAGCGCUUGCAACCAGACUUGGGCGUCGUCGAUCAUCCGGGGUUCUCCUCGGUGCACUCGACGAGGCACAGGCCAGCAUCGGUUUGGAUGGUUGGAGAAAGGCCCUAGGAACGUAGCUCUCUUCGGGGAGUGUUAUAGCCUAGAGCGCAAUGCAGCCCAUCCGGACCGAGGACCGCGCCUUUGGCUAGGAUGCUGGCGUAAUGGUUGCAAGCGACCCGUCUUGAAACACGGACCAA